CAUGGGAAUUUUCCGUGACGUCAGACCCCACAUACAGAGACUUACUGUAUUUUUUAAAUUGCUGUAUACUACUGUAACCGUCUCUUUGGGGCCAUUAUACUGAGGUCGUUUUAUUUUCCUCAUUUCUUACAUUUGGAUUGACACAAUUUGCCCUGCACCAUGUCUACAACGCCGCAGCAGCUUGGGACUGACUACUGGACCUGUUACAUCGCUUCUAAUGGUUGGAAAAUCCGUUUGUACUUCGUGUCAGAAACAGCGCGAGCGCUUGGAGUACAUCUGUACAUCAGAAAUAUACCAGGGCAUCACAUUACUGUGCGCAUCCACUGUAGAUAAUAUAUAUAAUGGGGUGCUUUUUUAUCGAGUCGCGCCGCGCCACUCGCGUCCGAGGAAGACACGGAAGCAGCGGGACAGUGCGGCGGCGCGCCGUGGAAGAGCUCCGGAGAACAUCUAUACUGUGUGUCGAUGCACCUUACGAGAGAAUAAGACCAGCAAGCAAGGCAACUGCAAUGAAGCAUCAAGAAAGACAUGAGCAGGCCAGCCACCCUGAGAUUGAUAAUUCAUGAGAAGACAUUUCUGUCAAAGUGGUGGGUGAGCAGAGAUGAUGGCCACGUUUUGGAGCAGCACCUGGGUUUUGCAGAGGG
This is a long non-coding RNA of Onychostoma macrolepis, 641 nucleotides long. RefSeq lists it as uncharacterized. NCBI's taxonomy places the organism in Eukaryota, Metazoa, Chordata, Actinopteri, Cypriniformes, Cyprinidae. The record is from RefSeq and is a predicted model, not a curated record. The transcript is spliced from 3 exons.